GGAAGCCCCCCCAGAGGAGGUGGGGGAGGGGUCUCUCCCUGAGGGCUCCCCCCCCCCUCCCCCUCAAAAUGGGGGUCCCCGUGCGGGGGGGCGGGGCGCGGCCGCCGGUACCUUGUUUGUUCUCGUUCAGCUGCCGCUCGAACUCGUCGAAGUCGGACAUGGCGGCGGGCGCGGCGCGGCGCUCCCGGAGCCCUCCCGGCGCCUCCCGGCCCCUCCCGGUGCCUCCCGCUCCCUCCCGGCCGCGCUCAGGCCGCGGCGCCUCCGUCCGCGCUCGUCUGCGCUCGGCCACUUCCGGCCGCCGCGCUCGGCCACUUCCGGCGCCGCUCGGGCCGCGCUCGGCGCUUUCCGCCGGCGUUCGGCGCCUUUCCGCCGGAGCUCGGCCUUUUCCGUCACGCUUCGCGCUUUUCCGCCGCUUUCCGGCGCCGCUCGGCUUUUUCCGUCAGCGCUCGCCGCUUUCCCUCACGCCUCGUGCCUUUCCGCUAAUUUCCGCCGCGGUUCGGCGCUUUCCGGCAGCGCUCGGAGCUUUCCGUCGCCGGUCGCCGUUUUCGGCCGCCGUUCGCACGCUCGGAGCUUUCCCGUUACUCCUCGCCCCUUUCGGGUCACUUUUCGCCGCUUUCCGUCACUUUUCCCAGCUUUCCGUCCCUGUUGGAUUCCCCCCCCCGGGUCCCUCACGUCACUUCCAGCCCGCUCCACUUCCGGCGGCGCCGCCGGUAACACCGGGCCCGGUUGGCCCCGCCCGCUCCGGUUUGGCCCCGCCCCUUUCCCCUCAGGGCCGCUUUUGGCGGGAAGCGGCGGCCGCGAGGGCGCCCCCUGGCGGCCCCCGCCAAGUCUCGCGCGGUGCCCAAAUCUCGCGGGAUUUGCCGCCGUUCCUUCGCCGCUUUUCGCCUCUUUUUGGGGAGGUUUUUCCCGGUUUUUCCCUCAAAAUUCCCCCCGGAGACCCCCGGAGUGAGCCCGGAGGGCCUGGAGGGGAUCUGGGGGGGAUCUGGGGGGGAUCUGGGACUCCCGGGUGUUCCCGGGCUGAUUUUGGGGAUCCCCGGAGUGAGGGAAAUAAACGGGAAAAAUGGGAAAAUUCGGGAUUUGGAGGGGUCCCGGUUUGAGGAGGGGUCCCAAUUUGGGGAGGGGGUCACAGAUUU
RNAcentral lists this long non-coding RNA (1133 nucleotides) under Parus major (Great Tit). Its description in RNAcentral is "lncRNA (ENSPMJG00000002310.1)". The record is from RNAcentral. Lineage: Eukaryota; Metazoa; Chordata; Aves; Passeriformes; Paridae.